AAAUUGAAGAGUUUGAUCAUGGCUCAGAUUGAACGCUGGCGGCAGGCCUAACACAUGCAAGUCGAGCGGUAGCACAGAGAGCUUGCUCUCGGGUGACGAGCGGCGGACGGGUGAGUAAUGUCUGGGAAACUGCCUGAUGGAGGGGGAUAACUACUGGAAACGGUAGCUAAUACCGCAUAAUGUCGCAAGACCAAAGUGGGGGACCUUCGGGCCUCAUGCCAUCAGAUGUGCCCAGAUGGGAUUAGCUAGUAGGUGGGGUAACGGCUCACCUAGGCGACGAUCCCUAGCUGGUCUGAGAGGAUGACCAGCCACACUGGAACUGAGACACGGUCCAGACUCCUACGGGAGGCAGCAGUGGGGAAUAUUGCACAAUGGGCGCAAGCCUGAUGCAGCCAUGCCGCGUGUGUGAAGAAGGCCUUCGGGUUGUAAAGCACUUUCAGCGGGGAGGAAGGCGUUAAGGUUAAUAACCUUGGCGAUUGACGUUACCCGCAGAAGAAGCACCGGCUAACUCCGUGCCAGCAGCCGCGGUAAUACGGAGGGUGCAAGCGUUAAUCGGAAUUACUGGGCGUAAAGCGCACGCAGGCGGUCUGUCAAGUCGGAUGUGAAAUCCCCGGCUCAACCUGGGAACUGCAUUCGAAACUGGCAGGCUAGAGUCUUGUAGAGGGGGGUAGAAUUCCAGGUGUAGCGGUGAAAUGCGUAGAGAUCUGGAGGAAUACCGGUGGCGAAGGCGGCCCCCUGGACAAAGACUGACGCUCAGGUGCGAAAGCGUGGGGAGCAAACAGGAUUAGAUACCCUGGUAGUCCACGCCGUAAACGAUGUCGAUUUGGAGGUUGUGCCCUUGAGGCGUGGCUUCCGGAGCUAACGCGUUAAAUCGACCGCCUGGGGAGUACGGCCGCAAGGUUAAAACUCAAAUGAAUUGACGGGGGCCCGCACAAGCGGUGGAGCAUGUGGUUUAAUUCGAUGCAACGCGAAGAACCUUACCUGGUCUUGACAUCCACAGAACUUUCCAGAGAUGGAUUGGUGCCUUCGGGAACUGUGAGACAGGUGCUGCAUGGCUGUCGUCAGCUCGUGUUGUGAAAUGUUGGGUUAAGUCCCGCAACGAGCGCAACCCUUAUCCUUUGUUGCCAGCGGUUAGGCCGGGAACUCAAAGGAGACUGCCAGUGAUAAACUGGAGGAAGGUGGGGAUGACGUCAAGUCAUCAUGGCCCUUACGACCAGGGCUACACACGUGCUACAAUGGCAUAUACAAAGAGAAGCGACCUCGCGAGAGCAAGCGGACCUCAUAAAGUAUGUCGUAGUCCGGAUUGGAGUCUGCAACUCGACUCCAUGAAGUCGGAAUCGCUAGUAAUCGUAGAUCAGAAUGCUACGGUGAAUACGUUCCCGGGCCUUGUACACACCGCCCGUCACACCAUGGGAGUGGGUUGCAAAAGAAGUAGGUAGCUUAACCUUCGGGAGGGCGCUUACCACUUUGUGAUUCAUGACUGGGGUGAAGUCGUAACAAGGUAACCGUAGGGGAACCUGCGGUUGGAUCACCUCCUUACCUUAAAGAA
RNAcentral lists this ribosomal RNA (1549 nucleotides) under Klebsiella pneumoniae. RNAcentral's name for it is "bacterial SSU rRNA". It matches the Rfam family "Bacterial small subunit ribosomal RNA". Lineage: Bacteria; Pseudomonadati; Pseudomonadota; Gammaproteobacteria; Enterobacterales; Enterobacteriaceae. The record is from RNAcentral.